This 59-nucleotide transfer RNA is filed under the name Bathynomus giganteus. RNAcentral describes it as "tRNA-Thr". Lineage: Eukaryota; Metazoa; Arthropoda; Malacostraca; Isopoda; Cirolanidae. The record is from RNAcentral. RNAcentral also lists the same sequence under 1 other name.
GCUUUAAUAGUUCAAAUAGAAUCCUAACCUUGUAAGUUGGAGAUGUUUUUCUUAAAGCA